UCGGAUUGUCUUUUCUGAAUUUUAUACUGAUAGGUACAAUAUCUCUCUGUGUCAACAGUUUAUUUUUCUGUCAGUUCUGAGUUGAGGUUUGAGUUAUAAUUAUCCUUUGGUAUGGUGCUUCUACGGUUAGUUUUCAAUUGACUUAGUUUGAAGAGUUAAUUGCUUUUUCCACUUUAGACAACAACAAAAUUUCUGGAGAAAUUUUACUUGCUUUAAGACUUAACAAUCUAUUCAGAAUCUUUUAUCCAACAUGCUUGUACUUUUAGUUACACAGUGUGCAAUUGUCCUGGGCGCAUUGCAUUUGCGCCAAUUUUUGAAAAUUACAAUCUUUCAUUUGCGCCACAAGGUUAUAUUUCAUUUGCGCCAAAAAAUAAAAACUUCAUUUAGGCCAUUUUACAAGCAAUAAUGGAAGCGUUAAAUAUUCAUUGCUCUAAAAGGUUUUUCUCUACAGUAUUUCUCUGGAUAAUGGGACGAGUUCAAUGCCACAUUAGGUGUCUAGAUGGAAAUUUUCAAUUUAGACAUAAAACAGGAGAAUUAAGUUAGUAAUAUUUGAUGACCACACUUUUAGUUUAUUAUCAGAUCCUACGUUCUGAAAAAUGGGGACCAAGUCGUUUAUUGGUACCCCAAAUAAAUAAAACCUUGCAAAGCCAGUAUAGAAACUGAAAUGGACUGCAGUUCAUGAAAAAACGGACUAUCUUUUUUUAUCAAUAUGUAUGCACUUGAGAGGAGGAAUGAUCCAGAGAUGAAUACAUCAGGAUCGUCGCUUACAAGUUUGGUGCCAGGGUAGACGUAUAACUUUACAAUAGUGUAUCAUGUUUAGAAUAACUCCAGUGUCAACUGUUUUCUUUCAUGUUUAAUAUUAGGUGUUAUGAUCACGUUUAUUUAUAACAGAACUGUGUUUCAUUAAAGUUUUAACAUUACUUGUGUGGUUUAAUGUCGACGGAUUUCUAAAUAAUAUAUUUUAUUUUGCAAACAAAAUCUUUUAUUAUCAAGUCUUUUUUAUAAUAUAUGUUUUAAACUAUUCACCUGUAUUUACCUUUAAUAUUGGCGCAAUUGAAAGGUUUUAUUUUGGCGCAAAUGAAAUAUUGUUUGUGGCGCAAAUGAAAGAUUUUUUUGGCGGAAAUGAAAUGCUAAUUGGCGCAAAAGCAAAGCACCGAUUGUCCUAAUACGAGAAUUUAUUGACCCAAUAAAUUCAGUAUUUAAGACAAUUGAACACUGUGUAACAAAUUUAUCCUGAUUUUGUUAUAUUGCAUAUUAUUAUAUUCAAAUUCAAUAUUAGGACAAUAUCAACCAAAUUAUUUUAGAUAUUUAAUCUAAAACUGUGAAAAAUUAAAAAUAUUAGGAAUACUAAGCAACUCAAAUUGAUUUUUUUUUAUCAGGUCAAUGAUAUAAUGAAGAUAAUUCCGAUUGAUGUAAUAAAUAAGGGAGAUAAUUUCAAUUGAUGUGAUAAAAAAUUGUACUGAAAUUUAUUAGGACAUUAUCAGCCAAUCAAAUUACUCUAAAUCAAGAUAAAAUGUUUUAAUUUGAUUAGUCAAAUGAGAAAAUAAACCAGUUUGCUUUAAUCAUGACAACCAAGGGGAAAUAACUCUGACUUUGUUUAUUUGAUAGUAAAGUCUAUAUCAGGAGACAAUAGUUAACUUGUGUAAAUUCAGAAAAUUGUUGUGUGUAUUGAUUAAAAAGGGACAGAAAAUGCUGCAUAUAACAAUGCUUUUAAAUUUAAAAUGUGAUUUUGCAACUAAUAUCAAUUCAAGAAUUUAUUGGGUGCAUUUAUUAUUGUGAUUUUUCACAAAUGGACCAAAUUGCGAGUUUAAUUAAUGUGAUUUUAAAAAAUCUACAUAAUUUUUAUAGAUUUAUGUUUGAGUUAUCAAAAUGCCAGUUUUUAUUAUUGCAAUACUCGCCCAGUCACAUUAUUAGCAUGAAUAAAAACUUGGCAAUAAUUUCUGAAUUUACCAUUGCAAUUAUAAGGAAUAAUAUUACUUAGUAUGAAUUUACAGUAUAAAAUGCUAAACACUGUCCAAAUAUUUAUGUUUCAUUGCUUUUAUUGAAAACUAUGGUUGUAUAAUUUUAGUUUAUACUUUUAUGUAGUUUAUUUUUGUAAGCAUGAUAUAUAUAGAUUUAAAAAUGAAACUAUG
Molecule: long non-coding RNA, 2132 nt
Filed under: Mytilus galloprovincialis (Mediterranean mussel)
Lineage: Eukaryota; Metazoa; Mollusca; Bivalvia; Mytilida; Mytilidae
Source: RNAcentral